RNAcentral lists this ribosomal RNA (468 nucleotides) under uncultured bacterium. RNAcentral describes it as "partial 16S ribosomal RNA". It matches the Rfam family "Bacterial small subunit ribosomal RNA", at positions 28 to 507 of the family's 1533-position model. The record is from RNAcentral.
GACGAACGCUGGCGGCGUGCUUAACACAUGCAAGUCGAACGGAAAGGCCCUGCUUUUGUGGGGUUCUCGAGUGGCGAACGGGUGAGUAACACGUGAGUAACCUGCCCUUGACUUUGGGAUAACUUCAGGAAACUGGGGCUAAUACCGGAUAGGAGCUCCUGCUGCAUGGUGGGGGUUGGAAAGUUUCGGCGGGUGGGGAUGGACUCGCGGCUUAUCAGCUUGUUGGUGGGGUAGUGGCUUACCAAGGCUUUGACGGGUAGCCGGCCUGAGAGGGUGACCGGCCACAUGGGGACUGAGAUACGGCCCAGACUCCUACGGGAGGCAGCAGUGGGGAAUAUUGCACAAUGGGCGGAAGCCUGAUGCAGCAACGCCGCGUGCGGGAUGACGGCCUUCGGGUUGUAAACCGCUUUCGCCUGUGACGAAGCGUGAGUGACGGUAAUGGGUAAAGAAGCACCGGCUAACUACGUG